CCGAGCGAGCGAGGGCUCCGGCCCGAGUUCGAUAACCCUUUGAUUUAUCAAGACCUCUUUAUGCCUCGGGGGCGACCCGGCCUCGCGGCCGCGGUCCUCCCGGUGGUACCCCCCUUCAACUCUGCAUCAAUUGUCGUCUGAGCGAAAAGUAAAUUCAAUCA
This 161-nucleotide unclassified non-coding RNA is filed under the name uncultured Ascomycota. Its description in RNAcentral is "sequence contains ITS1". Lineage: Eukaryota; Fungi; Ascomycota. The record is from RNAcentral.